CAGUCGCCGCGGUAAUACGUAGGUGGCAAGCGUUGUCCGGAAUUAUUGGGCGUAAAGCGCACGUAGGCGGCUGUGUAAGUCAGAGGUGAAAGCCCCCGGCUCAACCGGGGAGGGUCAUUGGAAACUGGGAAACUUGAGUGCAGAAGAGGAGAGUGGAAUUCCACGUGUAGCGGUGAAAUGCGUAGAGAUGUGGAGGAACACCAGUGGCGAAGGCGACUCUCUGGUCUGUAACUGACGCUGAGGAGCGAAAGCGUGGGGAGCGAACAGGAUUAGAUACCCGGGUAGUCCCUGUCUCUUAUAC
Molecule: ribosomal RNA, 301 nt
Filed under: uncultured bacterium
Lineage: Bacteria
Description: partial 16S ribosomal RNA
Rfam family: Bacterial small subunit ribosomal RNA
Source: RNAcentral